CAAUAGGUCAACUUCAAGCUACUGACCAUAGUUUUGUGCCUAAAUCAAUGCCUUGGGCCAGGUAAAAAGGCUUAUGUGGAAAAGUAAGGGGAAGUCAUUGAGCCUUGUACGAUGGAUCUUAUGGUUAAUGGGAUUUAUUUUAACAGGACUGCUAAAGGUGAUAAGUAAGAUCAGUAUUACAGGCUGGUCUCACCUAGCUGUGUGAGGGCCUACUGAUAGUAAUUUUGCUUUAAAGAUUCCUUGGUCAAGGGCUAAGAAAGUGAAUUGUACAGAAAAGUGUUAACCUAGCAGGCAGGACUACUAUUUCUUGGAAUUCCCACUUACAAGUUUGGCCGUUGGCUAGUGGAUUUGGGGAGGCAUCACAUAACUAACCUAAAAGAGUGACUCAUUAAGCCUAAAUUAUUUGUGCAAAUAAUAUGGUUUAUGUUUAACACCUGCUUUCCUGUAGGAAUUCUGGAGUUUGUAUGUGUGCCAGGCAGAAGAGGUCUACAUGACCGGUCCGCAGCCAAAACUCUGGCAUGAAGGCGCUAAUGAACUUCCCAACUUGGCAUCAUUUCACUCCUUGUGUUAUCUUUUCCUUUACUUAAUCUUUUUUUAAUCUUAAUUUUCACUAUAAACAAGAAGAAACAUGGCUGCAUCUUCAACACUUCACUUGGAAGUGUCCUCAGCUAAAAAUCCAAGGUGUCAAAAGUCAACCAGCUUUUCUCCACUAUAGACUUCCACUAUGAUAUUCUACUUCAUUUCAGACCCACAGCAAUGGAAUUAACCAACCAUGAACAGAAACAUCUGAAACUGAGCCAAAAUAAACUUUUCC
This is a long non-coding RNA of Sciurus carolinensis (gray squirrel), 814 nucleotides long. RefSeq lists it as uncharacterized. Lineage: Eukaryota; Metazoa; Chordata; Mammalia; Rodentia; Sciuridae. The record is from RefSeq and is a predicted model, not a curated record. The transcript is spliced from 3 exons.